GACGAACGCUGGCGGCGUGCCUAAUACAUGCAAGUUGAGCGCUGAAGGUUGGUACUUGUACCAACUGGAUGAGCAGCUAACGGGUGAGUAACGCGUGGGUAAUCUGCCUUUGAGCGGGGGACAACAUUUGGAAACGAAUGCUAAUACCGCAUAAAAACUUUAAACACAAGUUUUAAGUUUUAAAGAUGCCAUUGCAUCACUCAAAGAUGAUCCCGCGUUGUAUUAGCUAGUUGGUGAGGUAAAGGCUCACCAAGGCGAUGAUACAUAGCCGACCUGAGAGGGAGAUCGGCCACAUUGGGACUGAGACACGGCCCAAAAUCCUAAGGGAGGCAGCAGUAGGGAAUCUUCGGAAAUGGACGAAAGGCUGAACGAGCAAAGCCGCGUGAGUGAAGAAGGUUUUCGGAUCGUAAAACUCUGUUGGUAGAGAAGAACGUUGGUGAGAGUGGAAAGCUCAUCAAGUGACGGUAACUAAACAGAAAGGGACGGCUAACUACGUG
RNAcentral lists this ribosomal RNA (497 nucleotides) under uncultured bacterium. RNAcentral's name for it is "partial 16S ribosomal RNA". It matches the Rfam family "Bacterial small subunit ribosomal RNA", at positions 28 to 507 of the family's 1533-position model. The record is from RNAcentral.